Long non-coding RNA from Pongo pygmaeus (Bornean orangutan), 15022 nucleotides. RefSeq lists it as uncharacterized. NCBI's taxonomy places the organism in Eukaryota, Metazoa, Chordata, Mammalia, Primates, Hominidae. The transcript has 2 exons. The record is from RefSeq and is a predicted model, not a curated record.
AAUGUGAUAUUCCUGAGAGAAUACUGACUUAUCGUCACUUCAUCUCUGGGACAAGUAUUGAACAUAAGGGAAGCCUUAUAUAAAAUUGUUCAAUAAACAAAAGAUGUCUUUAACAUGUGUUUGAGAUCUUUCUUCUCAUGAUUCCAUGUUAGGUACAACAACUAUGACCGGGCUGUCAUCAAUACCGUUCCUUAUGAUGUCGUCCAUCGCUGGUAUACAGCACACCGGACGCUAACGAUAGAGUUGAGAAGACCUGAGAAUGAGUUUUGGGUCAAACUAAAGCCUGGCAGGGUCCUAUUUAUAGACAACUGGCGUGUCCUACAUGGCAGGGAAUGCUUCACUGGCUACCGCCAACUCUGUGGCUGCUAUUUAACAAGAGAUGAUGUAUUAAACACUGCUCGCCUCUUGGGGCUUCAGGCUUAAAAUUGACAGCAUCGGGAUUAUGAAUACACCUGGCACCCUGGCUACCAGAAUUUCAUAUGGGCAGAAUAAUAUUGUGUCAAACUCUACUUCAGAUUGUCUCCUUAAUCCAUCCCACAAAACAGAAUCUGUCCGUUUCUCUAGUAAGGGAGACUUGUUAGAGAGGGGGGACUCUGAGUUAUCUAACGUCAGACAUCUAGUGGGGCAGCUCUCUUCCUCAUGUUACAACAUGGAUCCACUUGUUUUAUUUAAACCUUUUAAUAUAAUUUUGGUCAGUCUCCUUCAGAAAUAUAAUCUCCAUAUUGAUAGGAAAGCAAUAAUUGCCAUGAGGUAAUGAUUUUUUUCCCACGUAGAUCAGUUAGAAAGAAAUGCAUUCUAGAAAUAACAAAAAUCCUGACAAAGCAACAAUUUGCAAAAUUUUUGGUCUUAGGACACCUUAACACUCUUAAAAGUUAUUGAAGGCCCCAAAGAGUUCUUGGGUGUGGGUUCUGUCUAUUGAUACUAAUUAUUUUAGGUAUUAAGAUUGAGAAAUAUUUAAAACUCAAGAAGAACACAGAAGCACACAUCCCUCAGCUAUCAGAGAGAUGACAUAACCAUAUGUCAUGUGGCCUCUGGAAAAGUCCUCUGUAUCCUCAUGAGAUAACGAGAGGGGGAAAAAAAGCUACUGUUGCCUUUGUAACUUCCACUUAGCCUACUACAGGGCUAUCCACAUCUUACUUUCCAAAAGUCUGCUUAAUUUCAAAAGAAAAAUGCCUAAUUGAAUGUAACUCAUCUUGGUGUUAUUAUACAAAAUAAUUUUUAAUCUGCAGACCCAGUAAAAGGGUCUCAGGGACUCCUCCAGGGGUCUUCAGACCAUACUUUGAGAACCCAUGGGCUAGCGACUACCUUGAGACAGUCCUUUACCUAGGCCUGUGGAUUAAAGGGUUUAGCUGAAACCCUAGAUUUUUCUCUAUAGUCUAAUAGAACUCCAAAGAUUGUAAGAAUUGCUUGGUAGCAUAAGCUCAGGGAUAAGGUGGGAAUUGAGUUCAAAUAUAGUGUUUUAUCUUCCACACAAAUCAUCUCUAUAGGAGUUAAAUUAGGAAGUCACAACAGCGCCUGUUGAACAAACUCAUCAGUGUGGUAAUCCUAUGAGGGAUAAUUGCAGAAAGGUUUUAGAGACUUGUGAGGUUCCAUAUGACAAUUCUUUACAACUCCCCCCCCCCACACACACCAAGAGAAAGUACACAGGGCUAUUCUGUAAUAUUGUUCAGGGAAAUCAGCAUGAUAGAUGCUGUGCCUCCAGAGAGUUCUCUGGAGAUGACUACCCAAAUGUGUAUUUUGGCAAUUUGGUGGUAUUUAGGAUGUAAUAUGUUUUCCUCCAUUUCUGCUAAUUUUCUCUCUCUCUCUCUCUCAUAACAUACUAUACAUGUUAAUUGCCAAGAUUUGAAUGAGUCAAAUUUAGUAGCUUGCUGCUUUUAUUUUUUUAAAUGGCUUCUUUUAUGUAUUGGGCGGGGCACAGGGUAUAAGGCUUCUUUUCCCUCAGCUUUCAUUGAAAGUGAAGCUGUACAAUAACCACAUUGACCACUGUAGAAUGAUGAAAGGGAAUAUAGGCUAGAAUGCACACCAGAUGGGGGAAAAGGCAUUAUUAGUGAAGAUAGAUAGGAGUUACAAAGCAAAGCAAAGUCAGUAUUCAGAUAGAGAAUAGAGCCUAAUCUGAUGUUUGCAGGGAGUUCCUUGAUCACAUUUGGCAAUUUACACAUUAUUUUAUUGACCUAUCCAGUGCUGCAAAAUGUGUUCCAAAAUAUUUUGGCAUUUUAUUUGUACUAUAUAGGAAUCUUUAGGGGAGUCCAUGAAAUUUGUUUUCCUCUUAGGUCAAAGGACUGAUAAUUAACUUUGGUUCUUAAGGAGUAUGACCUUUAGCAAUAAGAACAGAAAUAACAUUUUACCCUGCAGUUUUUUUCUCUAUACCUACUAUUAUGCACUCCUAAAAUAUGUCAUCAUUAGUCUUCAUGAGGAUGUUUACCAUUUUUGAAGUUUUGCGUAAAUUAGCCUUGAAGAUUACACUAUAACUGAGGUCAUCAGCAUUGAUUUAUGGCCAGCAAAGGACAUGCUCAUGGCCCUGGAAAGAUGAGGACACAAAACAAAUCAAUUUCCCCACUUACUGAAGGACUUCCCUUACCUUCUGUCUCUCCUGAGACCUUGACUCAUUAAUUAUUUUACUCUCCUUUUUGGAAAUUUGCAACCGGUCCUUCUCAACAAUGUACUCCCUUUAAGUACAUUGAAGAAAAAGAGAAGGGAAUUAUUUGAGUCUUGAUCACGAUGCAUUGAAAACUUCCUAUGUGAGAUGUUUCUGUUUUUACAUCUCUUCCAGGUGUCCCUGAGUAUAUAAGCAUGGGUCUAUGUCUACCGAGCUCACUGUAGAGUCACUUUUACCUUUUGCUAUGGUGGAAUGGGAUCUGUAGGGUCAGGAACACAGCACCUAACACAGUGCUUUAUGGAUAGUAGUUUUAUAAUACAGAUGUGUUGGAAGAAUAAAUGAAUGAGUCCUUUUCAAACAAAUUCACCAGAAGUUACCACAUUCUCUGUAUGUAUGUCCUUUUUCGUUUGGCAUUUAGCUGACACUGACUUUUGUUUGCUUUCAUCUACAGUGACCAACCAUCCUCUUGUGCCCAGAACUACAGGACUUUCCAUUUUAAAACGAGGAGAGUCACACACAAACCAGGACUGUUGGUCAGUCACUGUGCCUUCUUGCUGCUAGAUAUGUAAUUUUCUUUGGUUUUCAUCACUGGGUCCCAUCUCUUUGAAAGUGUUUGUAGGUCACAGACUGUGUAGUCCAUGAUGAAAAGAACAAAAGAUGUAUGAAUUAUGCUGUGUUGUGGUGGUUCCCAAAGUAGGGUCCCCAGACCACCAGCAGUGGCAUCAUUUGAGAACUCCUUAGAAAUGCAAAUUUUCAAGGCCCACCCCACGCCUACUAAGUAAGAAACUCUAGGCUUGGGUACCAGCAGUUUGUUUUAGCAAGUCCUCCACAGGAUUCUAACACAUGACAAAGUUUGAGAACUACUGACAGGAAGAGUCCUGCUGCUGAGUUCUAGGCCCAGUUCUGUCACUGGCUGACUAAAUGACUUGAGGCAUGUCCCGCUCCUAUUUUGAAUUUCAAUUUUUUCUUCUGUGAAAUGAAAGCCUUGGACUAGGCAGCGUCUAAAGGCUCUGUCACUCUGUAAUUGUGUGACUUUGGUAACUUUGUUUGACUUCUCCUUGCUUAAGUUUUCUCAUGUGGGUAUGGUAAGGAAAAUACCUACCUCACAGGAUUUUCUAACAAUUUUGUGAUUAUUAAGUAUAAUGACUGAUGACUAAUAUAUGACAGCCAACUCUUACACAGUGCUUUCUAUAUCCUGGACUGUUCUAAGUGCUUUUAAUCCCCGCAACAAUCCCAUCUCCAUUUUACAAAUGAAAAAUAGAGGUCACACGGCUAAUACGUGUCAGAGUUUGGAUUAAAACCCAGAAAAAUCUGUCCCCAGAGACAGUGAUUUUAACUAGCAUGCCCUUUUGCUCAAUAAAUGUUAAUUCCCUCACCCUUUCCACACACACACAGUCUAGCUGACCAUUCAUAGACAAUAAUCCCACUUUCACAGUCCAUCCAACAAGAUCUUAAAAGAACCAUGAGAAUCUCUAGGUUUCUUUUGCAAAUAGUUUUCAAGCAUUUAAAAAAAAAAGGUGGGGGGCAGGGAGGGAGUGGCCAAGAUGGCUGACUAGAAGCAGCUAGGGUGAGUGGUUCUCAUGGAGAGGAAAGAAAGGGGCGAGUAAAUACAGCGCCUUCAACUGAAACAUCCAGGUACCCGCAUUGGGUCUAAUCAAGGAAACAACUCGAUCCACAGAGAAUGAAGAAAAGCAAGGCAGGAUGACAGCCCACCCAGGAGCAACAUGGAGACAGAGGAACCUCCCCCACUCAGGCAAGUAGUAAGUGAAUGUGCGAUCCUGGGAAACCGCGCUUCUCCCAUGGAUCCUUGCAACCUUUGGGUCAGGAGAUCCUCUGGUGAACCCACUCCACCAGGGCCUUCAGUCUGACACACAGAGAUACAUGGAGUCUCAGCAGAGCAGCCGCUUGAGCACGUGCAGAGACCCAGCAGCUUUACAUACUCCAGCCCUGGGUUUCCCAGCAAAAGUAACUGCAACUCCUGCAAAGCAGGAGAUUAGACCCCUGCACAUACCCCUAGGAAAGAGGCUGAAUCCAGGGGGCCAAGCAGCAAUGAUCUGCGGGCCCCACUUCCACUGCACCUCACAGGAUAAGACCCGCUGGUUUGGAAUUCCAGCCAGCCACCAGCAGCAGUGUUGCACCUACCUGCGACGGAGGUCCCAGGGGGAGGGGCAGGCUGCUCUCUGGGACAGAGCUCCCAGAAGUGGCACCCCAGAACAGCACAGCACAGCUGCUCUUCAGAAGCAUGGCCAGACUGCUUCUUUAAGCAGGUGCCCAAUCUGUUCCUCCUCACUGGAUGGGACUUUUCAACCAAGGCCUCCAGCAACCACUGGUGUUCUCUGGCUGACAGAGAUUUGAAUUCUCCCUGGGACAGAGCUCCAGGAGGGAGGGAGGGACCACCAUCUUUGCUGUUUGGGCGACUUAGCUGUUCCGGCCUCCAGGCUUUGGAGAGCCCACACCAACCAGGGGUGGAAGCAGUGCCCCAGCACAGCACAGCUGAUCUGUGAAAGCAUGGACAGACUGCUUCUUUAAGCAGUUCCCUGAUCCCAUUCCUCCUGAUUGGGUGAGACCUCCCAACCAGGGUCUCCAGCCUUGUCCUGCAGGCGCGUUUGGGCUGGCAACAGGUCUGUACCUCGCCGGGCCAGAGCUCCCAGAGGAAGAGGCAGGCUGACAUCUUUGCUGUUUCACAGCCUUCACUGGUGAUAGCUCCAGAUACUGGAAAAUCCAAGGCGACUAGGAACUGGAGAAGAAGCCCAGCAAAGUACUGCAGCCCUACAGAAACAUGGCCAGACUGUUAAAAGAAAAAAAAAAAAUCCAAAGGUCAGCAACCUCAAAGACUGAAGGUAGAUAAGCCCACAAAGAUGAGAAAGAAUCAGUGCAAGAACGCUGAAAACUCAAGAAGCCAGAGUGCCCUCUUUCCUUCAAAUGACUGCAUCACCUCUCUAGCAAGGGUUCGGAAUUGGGCUGAGGCUGAGACGGCUGAAAUAACAUAAGUAGAAUUCAGAAUAUGGAUAGGAAUGAACUUCACUGAGUUAAAAGAGUACAUUGUAACCCAAUGCAAGCAAGCUAAAAAUCAUGAUAAAACAUUGCAGGAGCUGACAGACAAAAUAGCCCAUAUAGAGAAGAAUGUAACCAACCUGACCGAACUGAAAAAACACACUACAAGAAUUUCAUAAUGCAAUCACAAGUACUAAUAGCAGAAUAGACAAAGCGGAGGAAAGAAUUUCAGAGCUUGAAGACUGGCUUUCUGAAAUAAGACUGGAAGACAAGAAUAGAGAAAAAAGAAUGAAAAGCAAUGAAGAAAACCUCCGAGAAAUACGGGAUCAUGUAAAGAGAGUGAAUCUAAGACUGAUUGGUGUCCCUGAAAGAGAUGGGGAAAACGGAACCAAUUUGGAAAACAUAUUUCAGGAUAUAAUCUAUGAGAAAUUCCCUAACCUAGCUAGAGAGGCCAACAUUCAAAUUCAGGAAAUCCAGAGAACUCCAGGAAGAUACUCCACGAAAGGAACAUCCCCAACACACAUAAUCAUCAGAUUCUCCAAGGUUGAAACGAAAGAAAAAAUGUUAAAGGCAGCUAGAGAGAAAGGCCAGGUCACCUACAAAGGGAAGCCCUUCAGACUAACAGUGGAUGUCUCAGGGGAAAACCUACAAGCCAGAAGAGAUUGGGGGUCAAUACUCAACAUUCUUAAAGAAACUCCAACCCAGAAUUUCAUAUCUGGCCAAAGUAAGCUUCAUAAGUGAAGAAGAAAUAAGAUCAUUUUCAGACAAGCAAAUGUUGAGGGAAUUUGUUACCACCAGGCCUGCCCUACAAGAGCUCCUGAAGGAAGCACUAAAUGUAGAAAGGAAAGACGGUUACCAGCCACUCCAAAAACACACUGAAGUACUCAGACCAGUGACACUACAGAGCAAACAUGUAAGCAAGUCUGCAAAAUAACCAGCUAGCAUCAUGAUGAAAGGAUCAAAUCCAAACAUACCAAUACUAACCUUAAAUGUAAAUGGGCUAAAUGCCCCAAUUAAAAGACACAGAGUAGCAAGCUGGAUAAGGAACUAAGAUCCAAUGGUAUGCUGUCUUCAAGAGAACCAUCUCACAUGCAAUGACACACAUAGGCUCAAAAUAAAAAGAUGGAUGAAAAUCUACCAAGCAAACGGAAAACAUAAAAAAGCAGCAGUUGCAAUCCUAGUUUCUGACAAAACAGACUUUAAAUCAACAAAGGUCAAAAAACACAAAGAAGGGCAUUACAUAAUGGUAAAUGGUUCAAUUCAACAAGAAAAUCUAACUAUCCUAAAUACAUAUGGACCCAACACAGGAGCACCCAGAUUUAUAAAGCAAGUUCUUAGAGGCCUUCACAGAGACUUAGACUGCCACACAAUGAUAGUGGGAGACUUUUUAACACCCCACUGACAAUAUUAGACAGAUCAUUGAGACAGACAAUUAACAAAGAUAUUCAGGACCUGAACUCAGCACUGGAUCAAAUGGACCUGGUGGAUAUCUACAGAACUCUCCACCCCAAAACAACAGAAUAUACAUUCUUCUGAUCACCGCGUGGCACUUACUCUAAAAUCGACCACAUAAUCAGAAGUAAAACACUCCUCAACAAAUGCAAAAGAACUGAAAUCAUGACAAACAGUCUCUUGGGCCACAGAAGAAUCAAAUUUGAAAUCAAGAUUAAGAAAUUCACUCAAAACCAUGCAAUUACAUGGAAAUUGAAUAACCUGCUCCUGAAUGACUUUUGGGUAAACAAUGAAAUUUAGGCGGAAAUCAAGAAGUUCUAUGAAACUAAUGAGAACAAAGACACAAAGUACCAGAAUCUCUGGGAUACAGCAAAGGCAGUGUUAAGAAGGAAAUUUAUAGCACUAAAUGCCCACAUCAAAAAGUUAGAAAGAUCUCAAGUUAAUAACCUAACAUCACUACUAAAAGAACUAGAGAAACGAGAGCAAACAAAUCCCAAAACUAGCAGAAGACAAGAAAUAACAAAAAUCAGAGCUGAACUGAAGGAGACAGAGACAUGAAAAACCCUUCAAAAAAUGAAAGAAUCCAGAAGCUGUUUUUUGUUCUUUGAAAAAAAGUAAUAAAAUAGACAGACCACUAGCUAGACAAAUAAAGAAGGAAAGAGAGAAGAUCUGAAUAAACACAAUCAGAAAUGAUAAGGGGAAUAUUUACCACUGACCCCACAGAAAUACAAACAACCAUCAGAGAAUAUUGUGAACACCUCUGUGCACAUAAACUAGGAAGUCUAGAAGAAAUGGACAAAUUCCUGGACACACACACCUCCCCAAGGCUGAACCAGGAAGAAACUGAAUCCCUGAACAGACCAGUAAUGAGUUCGGAAAUUGAGGCAGUAAUAAAUAGCCUACCAACCAAAAAAAUCCCAGGACCAGAUGGAUUCACAGCUGAAUUCUACCAGAUGUACAAAGAGGAACUGGUAGCAUUCCUACUGAAACUAUUUCAAGAAAUUGAGAAGGAGGGACUCCUCCCUAACUCAUUCUAUGAGGCCAGCAUCAUCUUGAAACCAAAACCUGGCAGAGAUACAACAACAAAAGAAAACUUCAGGCCAGUAUCCUUCAUGAACAUCAAUGCAAAAUCCUCAACAAAAUGCUGGCAAACUGAAUCCAGCAGCACAUCAAAAAGCUUAUCCACCACGAUCAAGUUGGCUUCAUCCCCGGGAUGCAAGGUUGGUUCAACAUAGGCAGAUCAAUAAAUGUGACUCAUCACAUAAACAGAACUAAAGACAAAAACCACAUGAUUAUCUCAAUAGACGCAGAAAAGGCUUUUGAUAAAAUUCAACAUCCCUUCAUGUUAAAAACUCUCAAUAAACUACGUAUUGAAGGACCAUGCCUCAAAAUAAUAAGAGCCAUCUGUGACAAACGCACAGCCAACAUCAUACUGAAUGGACAACAGCUGGAAGCAUUCCCCUUGAAAACCGGCACAAGACAAGGAUGCCCUCUCUCACCACUCCUAUCCAACAUAGUAUUGGAAGUUCUGGCCAGGGCAAUCAGGCAAGAGAAAGAAAUAAAGGGCAUCCAAGUUGGAAGAGAGGAAGUCAACCUAUCCCUGCUUGCAGAUGACAUGAUCCUAUAUCUAGAAAACCCCGUUGUCUCAGCCCAAAGGCUUCUUAAGCUGAUAAACAACUUCAGCAAAGUCUCAGAGUACAGAAUCAAUGUGCAAAAAUCACUAGCAUUCCUAUACACCAGCAACAGUAAAGCCAAGAGCCAAAUCAGCAAUGAACUCCCAUUCACAAUUGCUACAAAAAGAAUAAAAUACCUAGGAAUACAGCUAACUAGGGAGGUGAAAGAUCUCUACAAGGAGAACUACAAACCACUGCUCAAAGAAAUCGGAGAUGACACACAAAAAAAUGGAAAAACAUUCCAUGCUCACGGAUAGGAAGAAUCAGUAUUAAAAUGGGCAUACUGCCCAAAGCAAUUUAUAGAUUCAAUGCUAUUCCCAUGAAACUACCAUUGACAGUCUUCACAGAACAAGAAAAAAAAAAAACUAUUUUAAAAUUCAUAUGGAACCAAAAAAAAAAAAAAAAAAAGCCUCAAUAGCAAAGGCAAUCCUAAGCAAAAAGGACAAAGCUGGAGGCAUCAUGCUACCUGACUUCAAACUAUACUACAAGGCUACAGUAACCCAAACAGCACGGUACUGGUACAAGAACAGACACAUAGACAAAUGGAACAGAAUAGAGAACCCAGAAAUGAGACCACACACCUACAACUAUCUGAUCUUCAACAAACCUGACAAAAACAAGCGAUGGGGAAAGGAUUCCCGGUUCAAUAAAUGGUGCUGGGAUAACUGGCUAGCCAUAUGCAGAAGAUUAAAACCGGCUCCCUUGCUUACACUAUAUACAAAGAUUAACUCAAGAUGGAUUAAAGACUGAAAUGUAAAACCCCCAACUAUGAAAACUCUGAAGGACCACUUAGGCAAUACCAUUCAGGGCAUAGGCAUGAGCAAAGAUUUCAUGAUGAAGAUGCCAAAAGCAAUUGUGACAAAAGCAAAAAAUUGACAAAUGGGGUCUAAUAAACCUAAAGAGCUGUGCACAGUGAAAGAAACUAUCAACAGAAUAAACAGACAACCUACAGAAUGGGAGAAAAUAUUUGCAAACUAUGCAUCUGACAAAGGUCUAAUAUCCAGCAUCUAUAAGGAACUUAAACAAAUUUACAGGAAAACAAACAACCCCAUAAAAAAGUGGGAAAAGGACAUGAACAGACACUUUUCAAAAGGAGACAUACAUGUGGCCAACAAUCAUAUGAAAAAAAAAAGGUCAACAUCACUGAUCAUUAGAGAAAUGCAAAUCAAAACCACAAUGAGAUACCAACUAAUAUUAGCCAAAAUGGCCAUUAUUAAAAAGUCAAAAAAUAACAGAUGCUGGCGAGGCUGUGGAGAAAAAGGAAUGCUUAUACACUGUUUGUGGGAUUGUAAACAAGUUCAGCCACUGUGGAAGACAGUGUGGUGAUUCCUCAAAGACCUAAAGACAGAAAUACCAUUCAACCCAGCAAUCCCAUUACUGGGUCUACACCCAAAGGACUAAAAAUCAUUCUGUUACAAAGACACAUGCAUGUGUAUGUUCACUGCAGCACUACUCACAAUAGCAAAGACAUGGAAUCAGCCUAAAUCCCCAACAGUGACAGACUGGAGAAAGAUAAUGUGGUACAUAUACACCAUGGAAUACUAUGCAGCCAUAAAAAGAAUGAGAUAAUGUCCUUCGCAGGGACAUGGAUGGAGCUCGAGGCCCUUAUCCUUAGCAGACCAACACAGGAACAGAAAACCAAAUACUGCAUGUUCUCACUUAUAAGUGAGAGUUAAAUGAUGAGAACAUAUGGACACAUAGAGGGGAACAACACACACUGGGGCUUUUUGGAGGAUAGAGGGUGUGAGGAGGGAGAGGAUCAAGAAAAACAACUAAUGGGUACUAAGCUUAAUACCUGGGUGAUGAAAUAAUCUAUGCAACAAAUCCCCUACGACACAAGUUUACCUAUGUAACAAACCUGCACUUGUACCCCUGAACUUAAAAGUUUAAAAAAAAAAAAAAGGAUUUAGUGGCUAAUAAACUCUAAAUAAAGCAUUUCAAACUUAAAAACAAAAUCCGGCCAGGUGCCGUGGCUCACGCCUGUAAUCCCAGCACUUUCGGAGGCCAAGGCAGGAGGAUCGCUUGAGGUCAGGAGUUUGAAACCAGCCUGAGCAGCAAAGCGAGACCCCGUUUCUACAAAAAAAAAUGGAAUUAAAAGAAAAAUUAGUUGGGUGGAGUCAUGAGUGCCUGCAGUCCCAGCUACUCGGGAAGCUGAGGUGGGAGGAUCUCUUGAGCCCAGCAGUUCAAGGCUACUGUGAGCUAUGAUCACGCCACUGCAAUCCAGCCUGGGUAACAGAGCAAGACCAUGUCUCAAAAAAAAAAAAAAAAAAUCAUCAUUUCUAAUUUUGCCUCUUCCAAGAAUGGAAGGGAAUUAACCUAUUCAGUACUUUUUUUUCUCUUGCAAAAUACCAGUCAGUUGUUAGGCUCAAAACCCUUUGAUAGAACAUAUCCAUAUCACUGGCCCCAGGGUGCUCUUGGGCAUAUUGGAAAUCCACUCACUUAGCUCAGCUGUGGAUUAGCUCAACUCUUAGUUACGAGGCCAGAACAUGUCUGCAUCUUCGCCUCCCUAAGCCUGCAGCUCAUCAGAAACAAAGACCCUGGCAGAGUUUGGCGGUAGUUCUUUUUUGUCAGACUUACAGUCAGGGGUUGGUGGGUUUGUGGGUAGCUCCAUUCUAGUCCUUGGCUUUAAUCUGUGAGUAUGGCUUUUGUCUUCCAUCUUGCUCAGGGUACUUUGGAACCGCUAUACAUUGCAGGAGCUUAGCUUCUGGCUACCAUGGUUUGCUUCCAGAGCAACAAGCAUAGUACUUCAACAUGGAGACAACUGUCUUUUGUUUUUGUUUUGUUUUGUUUGUUUUGUCUUGGCCAUGCCUUUUUGAGUUUACCUUUUUAUAUUUUGCCCAUCAUUGCCAUGUGUUUGGAGCAGUGGGCGUUCCAUAACAUGAACUCACUGUACCAUCAUGAAUGGGAAGUCAGGGGAAACCUUUUCCAUGUGGAUUUUACUCUUCCCUGAUUCCCUAAAUUGGGUUUGCAAAAUACUACUGUGCACUUUCUUGAUGAUUCGGGCUUAUCUUUAUGACUCUGUUUUUGUGUCAGACUGUAAAGAAGUAUAAAAGUCUUUAGCUUGAUUAAUGCAAUCCAUGCUUCCUUUCUGGAAAAAAGGGGGGGGGGCAUUUUUUACAGUUGCAAUAAAUCAUCUUAAGCCAUGUUGGCGUAUAUCAUAUAGAUUAGCGGUGGUGUUCUAGCUUGCUUUCUGUGUGGGCAGACAGGCACGGUAAUUUAUCCCCUGCACAACUAAAGAUCACAAGGGCUAAUGCUGUGUAAACCUGUGAAGUCAGUGAAGGUUUUUCUCUGUUAGCCCCAUCUUUCUCCAUGGUCUACCCACUGAUGGUGGCCACUCCCUCCAAUUCAGGUACUCCCUCCAAUUCAGGUACUCCCUCUCACCAUCUGCUUUCUAACUUCCUCUCUGAUGCCCUGACUGAGGCAGUGUCAUGUCACAGGAAGAGCACAAACUUGGAAUGAUCUGGGCUUGAAUUCCGUCUCUGACUUUUACUAGCCUGGGAAAUUUUGGGAAGUUGCUUUCCUUCCUUGAGCCUGUGUUCCCACAUAUGCAAAGUGGGGCUAAUAAAUGCCAGCCACCUGGAAAAUCUAUGAUGAAGAAUGAAUCUAUACAUGUGUAUAAAGUGUGAGCAGCACAUAAAAAACACUCAGUACAUAGUAGUUUAUCAUUGUUGACAAUAUCACUAUUUGAGAGAAGAGGAGGAAUCAGGGCUAGGCUGUGUGUUUGACAGGAAUCAACAUUCUACUUAGGGGGAAGCAGCAAAUUUAUGACAGGCAGAAUUGGAAAAGUAUGUGAAAAUGUUAGGGGUCAGAGAGAGUAGGCAAGUUGUGAAGCACAGAUAUAUUGGCAAGACAUCUGAACUUCUAGGCCUGAGGCUUCCUGGAUAGGAAGUUGGUUUGGGGUUUUGGCAGUCUGAAGGCUGAGAGCUGAAAGAACAGAAUGGUCAGGGAACAGGUCAGAGAGCCAGAUGAGAAAAGCUGAGUCUGGAGAGUUUUAAGGAGAGUGGCGUGGUAACGAAGGUGUGUAGAAUCCAUGAGACAGGCAGGCAGACACCCAUGCUCGUGAUGAUGCAUAGUUAAGGUGGAGCACAUACUUCCACAUCUAACUUUACCAUCUCCCAAAACCCCACUGGAACUGCUACAAAUGUGAUUUUUGAAAGGAUUAGAAGGAUAGGAGUGAAGAUGAAAUAAAAAGGGUUGAAGAACAGGAAAGGAGGCAACAACUAAAUUUUGGAUGCUGAAGAACAGACGGAUGAGUAGCAACUGACUUAGCAGAGCCAAGAAGGCCACAAACUAGGAAUUCUGAGACCUUAGUGGGAAAAGCAAAAAGCUAACUUGAUUUACUCCCCACCCCCAGGAAUCUUCAAAGGCUGGACCAGGGUAACUCUGGAAGUGGAGUUACCUCUGGAAGUGAAGGGGGGUGGGUAUCAAAAUAAUGAAGGCUGUUUGAAAACUCUUUUAAGAAGUAGAUUCAUUGCCAAAUCCCCUCCUGUUGUCAAUGCCAGUGAGGGGCUGACCCUUCCCUGCUCUGACAGAAGCCUGGAGUGUUAUUCCCUGGAGAGGGUAAAGCAGAGGGUCUCUGGAUGGGGAUUUCCCAGACUUAGUUGAGGGCUGGGGUCCUGUACUGAAAACAGGGGUGUUGAGUGGAAGCAUGUGUCCUGAAAGCUGUGAACUCCCAGUCUUCUUCCCUGCCCCUGCCCCUGCCCCUAAACUUCUGGCAGCUGGAAGAGUCUUCUGUGAGCCAUCUGACCAACCUAAGAGAAAAAGAUCUAAGGAGACUGACACUGAAGGCUCCCCAGUAAAGGGCUCACUCAGCUGGGUUACUCCCCAAUGAGGUACAUAGCUUGAUACUGUGAGGAAGAAGACACCCAUUCAAUUGAGGGUACUUAUUUUUGGAAUAGGAGGAGAGACCUGAGCAUUUUAGUUACUGCAAGGAAAGGAGCCAGGCAGAGAAGAUGGAGAGAUUAGAGAUUCUUGAGAGAAGGGGUAAUUGAUGGAGUGAGGCACCUGGGGAGGCAGGAUGGGAUGGAACCCAGAGCAGGAGUGGAAGUGACAGCCUGAGUCAGAAGAAAGAACCUUCAUCUUUCACUGAGAUAGGAUGAAAAGAAAUGAGAUCUGGUUAUAGACUCAAUUCGAUCCAUUAUUAUUUUGCAGCUACUAUAUCCAAGGCGUUGUGUGGGGUAGUGUUCAUUCAUCCAUCCACUCAUUCAUCCAACAUUUUUUGGAGCAACUACUGUGUUCCAGGCACUGUGCGGGGUGCUGGAGAUACCGAGAUGAAUCAGACAAGGUUCCAGUCCUCAAGGAGCUCACAGUCACAGGGCGAAAGCAGGCUCACAACACAGGGCAAUAUGUGCUGUGAAAACUGAGCACAGGGGGCUGUGAGAACACGGAGCAAGGGACACUGUAGAGAAGGGAAUGAAGCAGGUAUGGAAAUGGAUAUAGAACAAGACAUGGACUGCUCUGUGCAUUCAAGGGCAGAGAGAUCUCAUCCAGCAGGGCCCAUCUGCAGAGGUUUCAUGAAGUUAGGUGGUCUUUGAGUUGAAACCGAGAGGAUGCCUAGGGUUUCUUUCAACCUGCAGUGACGUGGGGGUGGGGAAGGGGUGCCCACCAAGAGGUGAAAACAGAUGCAAAGAUCCAGAGGCAAGAAAUUGCAGGAGGACAUGUUCAGGGUAGAGGGAGAGGCCCUGGUUGAGCACCUGAGAAGCCCCGGUUGAGAGUAUGCUGAGGCAAGUAGUAGGAGGUGCAGUUGCGAAGCAGGAAUAGGAUGAGAUGCAAAAAAUAUCAUCACAAAAUGCAACCGGGUUGAACAAAUGGAUUGUGUAAAAAACACCAGACUGUGAAAUGAGAAACCCGAUUCUGUUUUAGGCCCAGCUCUGAAACAAACUUGCUUUUGAUGUGGUAUGUAGUGACUCAGUUAACGUCUCUGAACAUUGGUUUCUUCAUCCAUCAAGUGGUAGCAGGAACACCUGUCCUGCCUAUCUCAUUGGGGUUCUCGUGAGGAGCAUAUGAGUCAGUGUACAAGAAAACACCUUUUUUUUAAAAACAGAAACAAAAACAAAAAAAAAACUCUUUAAAGUGCCGGUGCACACACGUAAAGGCUUAUUAUUGAGGAGACGCUUGUGCUGGGAACACAACCCUAACCCUAACCCCUAACCCUAACCAGGGGAGCAAAUGUACCGAAAUAUUCUCCUAAAAGGAUCCAACAACAUUCCGAAACUAGUUGUUAGGUAACAUGGGGAGCGAAUCAACUCCUGUUAAUUUGGAAUGUCUAUAUGUCAAAUUUACAUACAAUAAAAAUAGAUUUGUACUA